AAAGUACUCCCUCCGUCCGAAAAAGCUUGUCCCUCAAAUGGAUGUAUCUAGCACCAAGUUAGUGCUAGAUACAUCCAUUUGAAAGACAAGCUUGGGACAAACUUUUUCGGACGGAGCGAGUAACAG
This is a non-coding RNA of Triticum aestivum (bread wheat), 126 nucleotides long. The record is from Rfam. NCBI's taxonomy places the organism in Eukaryota, Viridiplantae, Streptophyta, Magnoliopsida, Poales, Poaceae.